AAUGGGCGAAAGCCUGACGGAGCAACGCCGCGUGAGGGAUGAAGGCCUCUGGGCUGUAAACCUCUUUUAUCAAGGAAGAAGAUCUGACGGUACUUGAUGAAUAAGCCACGGCUAAUUCCGUGCCAGCAGCCGCGGUAAUAUGGGAGUGGCAAGCGUUAUCCGGAAUUAUUGGGCGUAAAGCGUCCGCAGGCGGCCUGACAAGUCUGCUGUUAAAGCGUGGAGCUUAACUCCAUUUCAGCAGUGGAAACUGUCAGGCUUGAGUGUGGUAGGGGCAGAGGGAAGUCCCGGUGUAGCGGUGAAAUGCGUAGAUAUCGGGAAGAACACCAGUGGCGAAAGCGCUCUGCUGGGCCAUCACUGACGCUCAUGGACGAAAGCCAGGGGAGCGAAAGGGAUU
Molecule: ribosomal RNA, 394 nt
Filed under: uncultured Gammaproteobacteria bacterium
Lineage: Bacteria; Pseudomonadati; Pseudomonadota; Gammaproteobacteria
Description: bacterial SSU rRNA
Rfam family: Bacterial small subunit ribosomal RNA
Source: RNAcentral